RNAcentral lists this ribosomal RNA (497 nucleotides) under uncultured bacterium. Its description in RNAcentral is "partial 16S ribosomal RNA". It matches the Rfam family "Bacterial small subunit ribosomal RNA", at positions 28 to 507 of the family's 1533-position model. The record is from RNAcentral.
GAUGAACGCUGGCGGCGUGCCUAAUACAUGCAAGUCGAGCGAACGGACGAGAAGCUUGCUUCUCUGAUGUUAGCGGCGGACGGGUGAAUAACACGUGGAUAACCUACCUAUAAGACUGGGAUAACUUCGGGAAACCGUAGCUAAUACCGGAUAAUAUUUUGAACCGCAUGGUUCAAAAGUGAAAGACGGUCUUGCUGUCACUUAUUGAUGGAUCCGCGCUGCAUUAGCUAGUUGGUAAGGUAACGGCUUACCAAGGCAACGAUGCAUAGCCGACCUGAGAGGGUGAUCGGCCACACUGGAACUGAGACACGGUCCAGACUCCUACGGGAGGCAGCAGUAGGGAAUCUUCCGCAAAGGGCGAAAGCCUGACGGAGCAACGCCGCGUGAGUGAUGAAGGUCUUCGGAUCGUAAAACUCUGUUAUUAGGGAAGAACAUAUGUGUAAGUAACUGUGCACAUCUUGACGGUACCUAAUCAGAAAGCCACGGCUAACUACGUG